GACGAACGCUGGCGGCGUGCUUAACACAUGCAAGUCGAACGGCAAGGCACUGCUUUUGUGGGGUGCUCGAGUGGCGAACGGGUGAGUAACACGUGUGUAUCCUGCUCUAGUUUUUGGGAUAACUUCACGUAACUGAGCUUAAUACCGUAUCGCAUACGAUGUUCCAUGGAGGGGGUUGGAAAGUUUCGGCGGUCGGGGUUGGAUUAGCGGCUUAACGGCUAGUUGGUGGGGGAGGUGCUUACCAAGGCUUUGACGGGUACCCGGCCUGUGAGGGUGACCGGGCACAAUGGGACUGAGGUACGGACCAGAGGCCUACGUGGGGCAGCAGUGGGGAAUAUUGCACAACGGGCGGAAGCCUGAUGCAGCAACGUCGCGGGCGGGAAGACGGCCUUUGGGGUAUAAACCGCUUUAGCCUGAGACGAAGCGGGAGUGACGGUAAUCGGUAAAGAAGCACCGGCUAACUACGUG
Molecule: ribosomal RNA, 468 nt
Filed under: uncultured bacterium
Lineage: Bacteria
Description: partial 16S ribosomal RNA
Rfam family: Bacterial small subunit ribosomal RNA
Source: RNAcentral